RNAcentral lists this ribosomal RNA (420 nucleotides) under uncultured bacterium. RNAcentral describes it as "bacterial SSU rRNA". It matches the Rfam family "Bacterial small subunit ribosomal RNA", at positions 33 to 497 of the family's 1533-position model. The record is from RNAcentral.
UACGCUGGCGGCACGCCUAACACAUGCAAGUCGAACGAAGUAGCAAUACUUAGUGGCAGACGGGUGAGUAACAUGUAGGUAUCUGCCCUUUGGCCUGGAAUAACACGAGGAAACUUGUGCUAAUACCGGAUAAGUCUUUACGGAGAAAGCUUUAUGCACCAUUGGAUGAGCCUGCACUUGAUUAGUUUGUUGGUGGGGUAAUGGCCUACCAAGACUUUGAUCAAUAGCUGAUUUGAGAGGAUGAUCAGCCACAUUGGGACUGAGACACGGCCCAAACUCCUACGGGAGGCAGCAGUGGGGAAUCUUGCACAAUGGAGGAAACUCUGAUGCAGCGAUGCCGCGUGAGUGAAGAAGGCCUUUGGGUUGUAAAGCUCUUUCGUCGGGGAAGAAAAUGACUGUACCCGAAUAAGAAGGUCCGGC